This 527-nucleotide unclassified non-coding RNA is filed under the name Hevea brasiliensis (rubber tree). The record is from RNAcentral. Lineage: Eukaryota; Viridiplantae; Streptophyta; Magnoliopsida; Malpighiales; Euphorbiaceae.
ACUGCACGCCGGGAGCGUGAAGAAAGACGCAAGCGUUUGAGGAAUGAACGUUCAGAUGACAGACCUGUGCAUGUGUCUCAGCAGUCAAUACAUGAUCAGUACUAUUCAAUCAAACAAUAUAAAACUUACGAUAAAACUAAGCUCCCUCCUGGCUGGUUAGAUUGCCCUUCAGUUGGUCAGGAAAUCUUUGGUAUUAUUCCCUCUAAGGUUCCACUUGGUGAAGCCUAUAAUGACUGUGUUCCUCCUGGAAAAAGAUACUCUUUUAAACAAGUGUUUCAUCAACAAAGAGUAUUAGCAAGAAGACUUGGUUUGGUGAUUGAUUUGACAAAUACUACCCGUUACUAUUCACCAAAAGAUUUGGAAAAAGAGGGUAUUAAGUAUGUUAAGAUUCAAUGUAAAGGGCGUGAUUCUGUACCUGAUAAUGCAUCUGUAAAUAACUUUGUUUAUGAGGUUACGCAGUUUAUCGCUCGUCAAAAAUCUAAGAAGCAUAUUCUCGUUCAUUGUACGCAUGGGCAUAAUCGCACAGG